AUUGAACGCUGGCGGAAUGCUUUACACAUGCAAGUCGAACGAUGAACCUUAGCUUGCUAAGGGGAUUAGUGGCGAACGGGUGAGUGAUAUAUCGGAACGUGCCUUGUAAUGGGGGAUAACUAGUCGAAAGAUUGGCUAAUACCGCAUACGCCCUGAGGGGGAAAGUAGGGGAUCUUCGGACCUUACGUUAUAAGAGCGGCCGAUAUCUGAUUAGCUAGUUGGUGGGGUAAUGGCCUACCAAGGCGACGAUCAGUAGCUGGUCUGAGAGGACGACCAGCCACACUGGAACUGAGACACGGUCCAGACUCCUACGGGAGGCAGCAGUGGGGAAUUUUGGACAAUGGGCGAAAGCCUGAUCCAGCCAUUCCGCGUGAGUGAAGAAGGCCUUCGGGUUGUAAAGCUCUUUCGCAAGGGAAGAAAACUUACAUUCUAAUAAAGUGUGAGGCUGACGGUACCUUGAUAAGAAGCACCGGCUAACUACGUGCCAGCAGCCGCGGUAAUACGUAGGGUGCGAGCGUUAAUCGGAAUUACUGGGCGUAAAGCGUGCGCAGGCGGUUUGGCAAGUCAGAUGUGAAAUCCCCGAGCUCAACUUGGGAACUGCGUUUGAAACUGCCAGACUAGAAUAUGUCAGAGGGGGGUAGAAUUCCACGUGUAGCAGUGAAAUGCGUAGAGAUGUGGAGGAAUACCAAUGGCGAAGGCAGCCCCCUGGGAUAAUAUUGACGCUCAUGCACGAAAGCGUGGGGAGCAAACAGG
RNAcentral lists this ribosomal RNA (753 nucleotides) under uncultured Methylophilaceae bacterium. RNAcentral describes it as "bacterial SSU rRNA". It matches the Rfam family "Bacterial small subunit ribosomal RNA", at positions 28 to 776 of the family's 1533-position model. The record is from RNAcentral. Lineage: Bacteria; Pseudomonadati; Pseudomonadota; Betaproteobacteria; Nitrosomonadales; Methylophilaceae.